UGUCUUGAAACCCAGGACCAAGGAGUCUAACAUGUGUGCAAGUGUUAGGGUGUGGAAACCCCAGCGCGAAAUGAAAGUAAAGGGCAGCGCAAGCUGUCUGAGGUAGGAAAUGCUGCGGUCUUCGGUCUGCGGCGUGGCACUAUCGACCGAUCAUGAACCUUCGUGGUGAAAGAUUUGAGUUUGAGCACAUAUGUUGGUACCCGAAAGAUGGUGAACUAUGCCUGAGUAGGGUGAAGCCAGGGGAAACUCUGGUGG
This 255-nucleotide ribosomal RNA is filed under the name Peronospora tabacina. RNAcentral's name for it is "partial 28S ribosomal RNA". It matches the Rfam family "Eukaryotic large subunit ribosomal RNA", at positions 650 to 870 of the family's 3401-position model. Lineage: Eukaryota; Oomycota; Peronosporomycetes; Peronosporales; Peronosporaceae. The record is from RNAcentral.